This 735-nucleotide ribosomal RNA is filed under the name uncultured Fusobacterium sp. RNAcentral's name for it is "bacterial SSU rRNA". It matches the Rfam family "Bacterial small subunit ribosomal RNA", at positions 28 to 776 of the family's 1533-position model. Lineage: Bacteria; Fusobacteriati; Fusobacteriota; Fusobacteriia; Fusobacteriales; Fusobacteriaceae. The record is from RNAcentral.
GAUGAACGCUGACAGAAUGCUUAACACAUGCAAGUCAACUUGAAUUUGGGUUUUUAACUUAGGUUUGGGUGGCGGACGGGUGAGUAACGCGUAAAGAACUUGCCUCACAGCUAGGGACAACAUUUAGAAAUGAAUGCUAAUACCUAAUAUUAUGAUAAUAGGGCAUCCUAUAAUUAUGAAAGCUAUAUGCGCUGUGAGAGAGCUAUGCGUCCCAUUAGCUAGUUGGAGAGGUAACGGCUCACCAAGGCAAUGAUGGGUAGCCGGCCUGAGAGGGUGAUCGGCCACAAGGGGACUGAGACACGGCCCUUACUCCUACGGGAGGCAGCAGUGGGGAAUAUUGGACAAUGGACCGAGAGUCUGAUCCAGCAAUUCUGUGUGCACGAUGAAGUUUUUCGGAAUGUAAAGUGCUUUCAGUUGGGAAGAAAGAAAUGACGGUACCAACAGAAGAAGUGACGGCUAAAUACGUGCCAGCAGCCGCGGUAAUACGUAUGUCACGAGCGUUAUCCGGAUUUAUUGGGCGUAAAGCGCGUCUAGGUGGUUAUAUAAGUCUGAUGUGAAAAUGCAGGGCUCAACUCUGUAUUGCGUUGGAAACUGUAUAACUAGAGUACUGGAGAGGUAAGCGGAACUACAAGUGUAGAGGUGAAAUUCGUAGAUAUUUGUAGGAAUGCCGAUGGGGAAGCCAGCUUACUGGACAGAUACUGACGCUGAAGCGCGAAAGCGUGGGUAGCAAACAGG